CCUACGGGAGGCAGCAGUGGGGAAUUUUGGACAAUGGGCGCAAGCCUGAUCCAGCCAUGCCGCGUGUGGGAAGAAGGCCUUCGGGUUGUAAACCACUUUUGUCAGGGAAGAAACGGCUUUUUCUAAUACAGAGAGCUAGUGACGGUACCUGAAGAAUAAGCACCGGCUAACUACGUGCCAGCAGCCGCGGUAAUACGUAGGGUGCAAGCGUUAAUCGGAAUUACUGGGCGUAAAGCGUGCGCAGGCGGCUUUGCAAGACAGAUGUGAAAUCCCCGGGCUCAACCUGGGAACUGCAUUUGUGACUGCAUGGCUAGAGUACGGUAGAGGGGGAUGGAAUUCCGCGUGUAGCAGUGAAAUGCGUAGAUAUGCGGAGGAACACCGAUGGCGAAGGCAAUCCCCUGGACCUGUACUGACGCUCAUGCACGAAAGCGUGGGGAGCAAACAGGAUUAGAUACCCUGGUAGUCCACGCCCUAAACGAUGUCAACUGGUUGUUGGACGGCUUGCUGUUCAGUAACGAAGCUAACGCGUGAAGUUGACCGCCUGGGGAGUACGGCCGCAGGUUGAAACGUCGAAAAUGAAAUUGACGG
Molecule: ribosomal RNA, 588 nt
Filed under: uncultured bacterium
Lineage: Bacteria
Description: bacterial SSU rRNA
Rfam family: Bacterial small subunit ribosomal RNA
Source: RNAcentral